This 253-nucleotide ribosomal RNA is filed under the name uncultured bacterium. Its description in RNAcentral is "partial 16S ribosomal RNA". It matches the Rfam family "Bacterial small subunit ribosomal RNA", at positions 524 to 776 of the family's 1533-position model. The record is from RNAcentral.
UACGUAGGUGGCAAGCGUUGUCCGGAAUUAUUGGGCGUAAAGCGCGCGCAGGUGGUUUCUUAAGUCUGAUGUGAAAGCCCACGGCUCAACCGUGGAGGGUCAUUGGAAACUGGGGAACUUGAGUGCAGGAGAGAAGAGUGGAAUUCCACGUGUAGCGGUGAAAUGCGUAGAGAUGUGGAGGAACACCAGUGGCGAAGGCGGCUCUUUGGGCUGUAACUGACACUGAGGCGCGAAAGCGUGGGGAGCAAACAGG